CCUACGGGAGGCAGCAGUCGAGAAUCUUCCGCAAUGGACGAAAGUCUGACGGAGCGACGCCGCGUGCGGGAUGAAGGCCCUUGGGUUGUAAACCGCUGUCAGAGGGGAUGAAGUCUUCGGAGGUACUCCUCCGAAGUUGACAGAGCCUCAAAGGAAGCACGGGCUAAGUACGUGCCAGCAGCCGCGGUAACACGUACUGUGCGAACGUUAUUCGGAAUCACUGGGCUUAAAGGGUGCGUAGGCGGCGAUUCAAGUCAGAUGUGAAAUGCCUGAGCUCAACUGAGGCAUUGCGUUUGAAACUGAAUUGCUAGAGUAUCCUAGGGGUGUGCGGAACUGCCAGUGGAACGGUGAAAUGUGUUGAUAUUGGCAGGAACACCGGAGGCGAAAGCGGCACACUGGGGGAUAACUGACGCUGAGGCACGAAAGCCAAGGGAGCGAACGGGAUUAGAUACCCCGGUAGUCUUGGCCGUAAACGAUGAGCACUGGGCGGGAGGGGGUUUCCCUUUCUGCCGUAGCGAAGCGUUAAGUGCUCCGCCUGGGGAGUGUGGUCGCAAGGCUGAAACUCAAAUGAAUUGACGGNNGNGAGNGCGAGGCGACGACGAGGGAGGAGG
RNAcentral lists this ribosomal RNA (611 nucleotides) under uncultured bacterium. RNAcentral's name for it is "bacterial SSU rRNA". It matches the Rfam family "Bacterial small subunit ribosomal RNA", at positions 338 to 947 of the family's 1533-position model. The record is from RNAcentral.